AGACUUCUGCAAGAUGCCAAGAGGGGAACUUGGGCUUUUUCUUUUUUCUAAUUGCCUUUUACAGAGUGAUGGAAAGUUAACUACGAAAUCCUGCCGGGAAAAGAAGGACGACCUAGGCCUAAAAAUCGUGUCUACUCUCCAAGAGAGCGUUGCCCUGCUUUCCAAUGUUAUUUCAUCUGUUUUUAUAAUUGGAUGUGAAACUUCUUGAGAAAGGUUCCUAUGACUCUUUAACCAAUUAUUGUUCAAAGCAGUCCCCAAAGUGUUAAGUAG
RNAcentral lists this long non-coding RNA (270 nucleotides) under Pongo abelii (Sumatran orangutan). RNAcentral's name for it is "lincRNA". The record is from RNAcentral. Lineage: Eukaryota; Metazoa; Chordata; Mammalia; Primates; Hominidae.